RNAcentral lists this ribosomal RNA (433 nucleotides) under uncultured bacterium. Its description in RNAcentral is "partial 16S ribosomal RNA". It matches the Rfam family "Bacterial small subunit ribosomal RNA", at positions 28 to 507 of the family's 1533-position model. The record is from RNAcentral.
GACGAACGCUGGCGGCGUGCCUAACACAUGCAAGUCGAACGAGACCUUCGGGCCUUGUGGCGCUGGGGUACUUGCGAACUGGUAAGUAACCCGUAGGUAACCUAUCACUUACCGGGGGAUAACUUAAUGAAACAUAAUGUAAUAGCGCCUAAGAUUUAUUGCUUCGGGAUGGGGCCGCGAAAGAUUCGCUAGUUGGUAGGGUAAACGCCUACCAAGGGGAUGAUCCAGAGCUGGUCGGAGAGGAUGACCAACUCCACUGGGCCUGAGACACGGCCCAGACCGCUAGGGAAGGCAGCAGGAGAGAAUAUUCGACGAGGGGCGAAAGCCUAAGCCAGCAGUGCCGCGGGAGUGAGGAAUGCGUUAGGAUUGUAAAUCUGUUUGACACGGGAUGAUAGUGACGGUACCGGGAAAAUAAGCUCCGGCUAACUCCGUG